UUCUGAUAAACCAAGUGCACCUCCGGUACACUUACCACUGUUACGACUGGCUCCCCUUUGUAUUUUUAGUUUAUUAGUUAUGUUAAGUUUGUUUUGGGGAGAGUGACGGGCGGUGUGUGCGCGCUUCAGGGCCAAGUUUCAGUAGUACACUCUAUUUACUGCUUACUGCUAAAUCCUCCUUCUAAUGUAUGUUUCAUUACAUUUUUCGUGUACCCUGUUUAGGGAAUGUAGCCAUUUCUUCCCCUCUCAUAUGCUACACCUCGACCUGACGUUUUAAGUUAUACUGGCUUUGCUUACUAUUAAUCCUUCACAGGGUAAGCUGACGACGGCGGUAUAUAGGCGGGAAAAACAAGAGAGGGUGAGGUUGAACGGGGGUUGUCGGUUUCAGAACAGGCUCCUCUAGGUGGGUCUAAAGCACCGCCAAGUCCUUUGGAUUUUAAGCUAGAGCUUGUAGUACCCUGGCGAACAGUUGGUGUAGAUUCUGUCAAAGUUUAUGGCUGUGCAUAGUGGGGUAUCUAAUCCCAGUUUGUUUCACAGCUUUCGUGGAGUCAGAUGUAUUAAAGUUACUUUCGUAAAAAUUUUUCUUAUUCUCGGGUGCGGUAUAACAGCUUUGAGACUAUUCUACUUUAGUUUAUGUUUUUCUAAACCACGCUUUACGCCGAUAAUUAUCAAUUUAAGCCUCUCGUAUAACCGCGGUGGCUGG
Molecule: ribosomal RNA, 703 nt
Filed under: Onchocerca volvulus
Lineage: Eukaryota; Metazoa; Nematoda; Chromadorea; Rhabditida; Onchocercidae
Description: partial 12S ribosomal RNA
Source: RNAcentral